GACGAACGCUGGCGGCGUGCUUAACACAUGCAAGUCGAACGCUGAAGCUCAGCUUUUGUUGGGUGGAUGAGUGGCGAACGGGUGAGUAACACGUGAGUAACCUGCCUCCUUCUUUGGGAUAACGCCCGGAAACGGGUGCUAAUACUGGAUAUUCACUGGUCUUCGCAUGGGGGUUGGUGGAAAGGGUUUUUCUGGUGGGGGAUGGGCUCGCGGCCUAUCAGCUUGUUGGUGGGGUGAUGGCCUACCAAGGCUUUGACGGGUAGCCGGCCUGAGAGGGUGACCGGUCACAUUGGGACUGAGAUACGGCCCAGACUCCUACGGGAGGCAGCAGUGGGGAAUAUUGCACAAUGGGCGCAAGCCUGAUGCAGCGACGCCGCGUGAGGGAUGGAGGCCUUCGGGUUGUGAACCUCUUUCGCUCAUGGUCAAGCCGCAACAGUGGUUGUGGUGAGGGUAGUGGGUAAAGAAGCGCCGGCUAACUACGUG
This 483-nucleotide ribosomal RNA is filed under the name uncultured bacterium. RNAcentral's name for it is "partial 16S ribosomal RNA". It matches the Rfam family "Bacterial small subunit ribosomal RNA", at positions 28 to 507 of the family's 1533-position model. The record is from RNAcentral.